Molecule: unclassified non-coding RNA, 261 nt
Filed under: uncultured Cantharellaceae
Lineage: Eukaryota; Fungi; Basidiomycota; Agaricomycetes; Cantharellales; Hydnaceae
Description: sequence contains ITS2
Source: RNAcentral
GAAUCUCUCAAAGGGGUUUUGUCGCCACCCCUUUGGAUUUUGGGUCUUGCCGUGAAAUUUAUCUCGGCUCACCUUGAAAGCAUUAGCAAAGCUUUUUAGCACUCUAAGUCUUUUGUGAAUCUUUUGUGAUGAGGGCGUUCUAAUUGGUCAAAGCUGGUCAAGCUCUAUAGACGUCUAAACAUCCAUAAGAGUGACUUUUUGAGUGAAGCUUAGCUUCCAAUCAUCCUUAUAGGAUUGGGCAUUGAGCUCCAUCAAUGUUAU